CAUCGAUGAAGAACGCAGCGAAAUGCGAUAAGUAGUGUGAAUUGCAGAAUUCAGUGAAUCAUCGAAUCUUUGAACGCACAUUGCGCCCCUUGGUAUUCCAUGGGGCAUGCCUGUUCGAGCGUCAUUUGUACCUUCAAGCUAUGCUUGGUGUUGGGU
This 156-nucleotide ribosomal RNA is filed under the name Phoma sp. Fanqin18. RNAcentral's name for it is "5.8S ribosomal RNA". The stretch from base 1 to 124 matches the Rfam family "5.8S ribosomal RNA", at positions 31 to 154 of the family's 154-position model. Rfam says of the family: 5.8S ribosomal RNA (5.8S rRNA) is a component of the large subunit of the eukaryotic ribosome. It is transcribed by RNA polymerase I as part of the 45S precursor that also contains 18S and 28S rRNA. RNAcentral also lists the same sequence under 1 other name. The record is from RNAcentral. Lineage: Eukaryota; Fungi; Ascomycota; Dothideomycetes; Pleosporales; Didymellaceae.